RNAcentral lists this long non-coding RNA (1745 nucleotides) under Theobroma cacao (cacao). RNAcentral describes it as "long non-coding RNA (TCAC_LNC005216)". The record is from RNAcentral. Lineage: Eukaryota; Viridiplantae; Streptophyta; Magnoliopsida; Malvales; Malvaceae.
GACCAAGAGGGUGUAGGGCUAUGAACCCUUACUUUCUAAGAUGCAACUCUAAGAUUAAUUCUCGUCUUACUCAACUAUCAACAAACUGUCUUGAGCCUGAAAAAUGGAUAGGAAGAGGGGUGAGAUUAUGAUUACAUAAUCCCAGUGAGUAAACAAACACCAUCUAAAUAAUCUAAAGGUGAGUAAAGGGAGACAAUUAAAAAUAAUUCAUUUCAGCAAAUUUUUCACAACACGAGUAUUCAUUUCAACGAAAUAAUCAAUAUGCCUUGUAAAUUUCUCAAAACUUGGCUCAUGCCAAAUCCUGUACUCGGGGACACCUGGACCAGGGGUAUCCAACCGAGUCCGUCAAGGCUGUGAAAAAUUUUAUAUAAUCAUAAAACUUGUUUUUAUUUUGACAACAUAGCCGUUCCUUGGCGUUGGUUGAGUCUCACUCUCACGCGGUGGUCCACGUGAAGUGCACUAAAAAAGCCCACCUCAGGAGAUACCCUACGCGCCUCUACGACCGAGGUAAGAAUAUAAAGGAGUUUACCGUGCCCCUCUAAUAGGCUGGUUCUUGGAAUCCCACCAGUGCAGUAGCUAAUCUUUUAUCUACCACCUGAUUUAUAAAAUCUUUUUACUGCAUGACAUGGCAAUUUAUCGCAACCUAGCCUCUCAAGGCUGAAUACACAGUACAAAUAAUUCUAACACCAAAAUCAGUUUAGCCAUUCAUGCUCAUUUAUUGUCAUAAGCCAUUCAAUUUAAAAUCAUAAAUUUACAACACAAGCAGGCAGUCUCCAAUUACUCUAUUUUCAAAACCAGUAUUCGAUUUUCUAGAAAAUUUAUAAAAUGAUUUUAUAAAAUCACAAUUUCUCUUAAAACAUAGCAAUUUACCAUUUAAACCAAUUUUUCAUAAAAUCACACAAUUGUAUAAAACUACUCUAGAUAAUUAAGACGAUAAUAAGUUUACUUACAGUUUCCGAAAACUAAAUUCGGGUACUUCAACUAUUACUCCUCGGGUGCGAUUUCUUUGCCCUUGCCAGAGGAUUCGCCACCUUGACAAAUUGCACAAUUAAGAGGUUUACUACUUUGGUACUAAGCCAAAAUAAACUAAUUUAUACUACUAAUGCAUGAUAUGAAGUGCAAAAUGUCUAAAUUUUACCUAAAUGCGAUGUUAGCCUAUUUCAAUCUUUUACCCGAUAAAUCGAUAUACGCGUCCGUUUAAACUCCAAAUUAAUUUUUUUCAGUUUCUAUACCUCAAUUGCACCCAAAUUGACUUAAUGUUCCUUAGUGUGGUGCAAAUUAUCAGUCUCGGUAGCAAAUUACGAAAUACCCCUACUGGGUAAAAAUUCAUAUUUUUGCUCCAAAAAUUCCCAUUAUUUUUCUAGGCUCAUAAUUCAUCAUUAUUUAUCAUAAUUUCUCAAAUAAACAUCAAGAUAAGCAACCAAUAUUCCCCUAAAAAAUUCGGCCAAUAAUGGUAAUGGAGGAAAAUGAAUUCUUUUCUUGUUGUUUUGUUUCUAAAUAUGCUAAACUAACUAAAAACACUAACAUAACUUAAAAUCAAAUUAAUCUAACUUCAUUCUCUCUCCAAACCCAUUUGGGCAGCCAUGAAUUCACCAUGAAAACAUGAAAUCUAACCAUGGAAAAUAAGGAGAAAUGCAUGGGAAAUGUAGAUCACAAGUCAAAAUCAAGAAAUUUUACCUUUGAUUGCUUGAUUCCUUGAAAUCCACCAAUUUUCCUUUAAUUUCCCACCUAGGUUUCUUGUUUUU